GUGCUGGCUUUGGCAGCACAUGUACUAAAAUUGGAACGAUGUAGAGAAGAUUAGCAUGACCUCUGCACGGCGACGGACGGGAAUUAGGCAGUCUGGUUAUUC
Molecule: small nuclear RNA, 102 nt
Filed under: Papio anubis (olive baboon)
Lineage: Eukaryota; Metazoa; Chordata; Mammalia; Primates; Cercopithecidae
Source: RNAcentral